UCCACGAAUGCUUGCCAAGACAACCGGAAAAAAACAAUAAGGUCAUAUUCACAACUGCAAAACCCAUGCUUCUGCUCUAAGUCUUUUACUUUCUCACUUUUUAAUUGAUAACUGUCAUAUCAUAACCAACUUGCAGAGAGAUCACAAGUGUAAGGUGCUUUGCCAUUUAUAAGCUUGUUCUCAGGCCAGAAAUUAAGAACCAUCUUGAAAAAAGAAUAAAAUUACUGUCUUCUGAAGUCAUUAAUUUUGAAAUCUAUUUAAACAGCUGGAAAGUAAGGGAUUAACACUGAGCAGUAAUGCCUGGAUGAAUGACACUGUCAUAAUUGAUAGCACAGUGGGAAAGGACACAUUCUUUCUCAUCACAUGGGAAAGCCUGCCUCCCAGUAUUUCUCUCUGGGAUCCCAGUGGAAUGAUAAUGGGAAAUUUCACAGUGGAUGCAGCUUCCAAAAUAGCCUAUCUCAGUAUUCCAGGAACUGCAAAGGCGCUGAUUCUUUCAAGAAUGAUGGGGUCUACUCCAGAUAUUUUACAGCAUAUACAGAAAAUGGCAGAUACAGCUUAAAAGUACGGGCUCAUGGAGUAACAAACACUGCCAGGCUAAACUUGCGGGAUCCACUGAGUAGAGCUGCAUACAUACCAGGCUGGGUAGUAAACGGAAAUGUGUAAUGCAGGGGAAAUUGAAGCAAACCCACCAAGACCUGAAAAUAAUGAGGAUACUCAGGCCACCUUGGAGAAUUUCAGCCGAACAGCGUCCGGAGGUGCAUUUGUGGUAUCACAAGUCCCAAGCCUUCCCUUGCCUGACCUAUACCCCCCAAGUCAAAUCACAGACCUUGAUGCCACACCUCAUGAAGGUGAGAUUGUUCUUACAUGGACAGCACCAGGAGAUGAUUUUGAUGUUGGAAAAGGUAAGGACGAAGUGUAAUGUGAUUUUGACUUAAGUGAAAAGUGCUAAUUGCAAAAACAAGGGUGUAAGAGUGGGUGAGGGGAGAAUGGUUUUAAAUUGAUAGCUUAGCGAAGCAUUAAUUUUAUAAUCUGAUAUUUUUCAAUCAAUCAAGUGACACAUUUUAACAUGGUCCUACUUUUUACACAGAGAAGAUAGCAGUUUGCAGAGCUUAAGAUCAGAAUUCGGCUUUUAUUAAAAAAUGAGUAAGGCUUUUGAUAUGAGUACAUGUUUUGCAUAACUAGACAUUUUUGAGAAUAAAUAAAAAGAAAUAAAUAUGCUGCACUCCAGUCUCUAAACUCUUGUAACUUUUUUUUCUUAGUUGAACAUUAUAUCAUAAGAAUAAGUGGAAGUAUCCUUGAUCUAAGAGACAGUUUUGAUGAUGCUCUUCAAGUAAAUACUACUGAUCUGUCACCAAAGGAGGCCAACUCCAAGGAAAUCUUUGCAUUUAAACCAGGAAAUAUCUCAGAAGAAAAUGCAACCCACAUAUUUAUUGCCAUUAAAAGUAUAGAUAAAAGCAAUUUGACAUCGAAAGUCUCCAAUAUUGCUCAAGUAGCUUUGUUUAUCCCUCAAGCAAAUCCUGAUGAAAAUUAUACUACUCCUACUCCAGACAAAAAUUAUACUACUCCUACUCCAGAUAAAAAUUAUACUACUGCUAUUCCUGAUAAAAAUCAUCAUUCUGGAGUUAAUAUUUCUACCCUGGUAUUGUCUGUGGUUGGGUCUGUUGUAAUUCUUAGCAUUAUUUUAAGUACCACCAUUUGAAUCUUAACAAGGGAAAAAUCUACAAGUAGACCUAGAACAGGGUUUUAGAAAACAAAACAGGAUAAGUAAAAGGUAUUUCUGAAUCUCAAAAUUCAUCCCGUGUGUGAUCAUAAACUCACAAAAAUAAUUUUAAAUGUCUAAAAUAAUUUUUAAGGAUACUUGGAUUAAAUAAAACAUCCAUGGAUAUGUAAAGAACUGUGUGAAAAUUUAAAUUUAAUAAUUGUACUUAUUUGUUAUUUUAUUUGUAAGAAAUAGAGAUGAACAAAAACCCUUUUUCAUACUCAUUCCUGGUUGUAUAUUAUUUGAUACAAAAGUUUUCUGAAAUGAUAUUUCAAAUUUCAUCAAGAAAUGUAAAGGAUCUAUUUGAGUAGUCAAAAUACAAUUAAAGGA
Molecule: long non-coding RNA, 2089 nt
Filed under: Saimiri boliviensis boliviensis (Bolivian squirrel monkey)
Lineage: Eukaryota; Metazoa; Chordata; Mammalia; Primates; Cebidae
Description: lncRNA (ENSSBOG00000036468.1)
Source: RNAcentral